This 767-nucleotide ribosomal RNA is filed under the name uncultured Granulicatella sp. RNAcentral's name for it is "bacterial SSU rRNA". It matches the Rfam family "Bacterial small subunit ribosomal RNA", at positions 28 to 776 of the family's 1533-position model. Lineage: Bacteria; Bacillati; Bacillota; Bacilli; Lactobacillales; Carnobacteriaceae. The record is from RNAcentral.
GACGAACGCUGGCGGCGUGCCUAAUACAUGCAAGUCGAACGAGAGCGACCGGUGCUUGCACUGGUCAAUCUAGUGGCGAACGGGUGAGUAACACGUGGGUAACCUGCCCAUCAGAGGGGGAUAACAUCCGGAAACGGAUGCUAAAACCGCAUAGGUCUUCGAACCGCAUGGUUUGAAGAGGAAAAGAGGCGCAAGCUUCUGCUGAUGGAUGGACCCGCGGUGCAUUAGCUAGUUGGUGAGGUAACGGCUCACCAAGGCCGUGAUGCAUAGCCGACCUGAGAGGGUGAUCGGCCACAUUGGGACUGAGACACGGCCCAAACUCCUACGGGAGGCAGCAGUAGGGAAUCUUCCGCAAUGGACGCAAGUCUGACGGAGCAACGCCGCGUGAGUGAAGAAGGUUUUCGGAUCGUAAAACUCUGUUGUUAGAGAAGAACAAGUGCUAGAGUAACUGUUAGCGCCUUGACGGUAUCUAACCAGAAAGCCACGGCUAACUACGUGCCAGCAGCCGCGGUAAUACGUAGGUGGCAAGCGUUGUCCGGAUUUAUUGGGCGUAAAGCGAGCGCAGGCGGUUCCUUAAGUCUGAUGUGAAAGCCCCCGGCUCAACCGGGGAGGGUCAUUGGAAACUGGGGAACUUGAGUGCAGAAGAGGAGAGUGGAAUUCCAUGUGUAGCGGUGAAAUGCGUAGAUAUAUGGAGGAACACCAGUGGCGAAGGCGACUCUCUGGUCUGUAACUGACGCUGAGGCUCGAAAGCGUGGGUAGCAAACAGG